This 111-nucleotide ribosomal RNA is filed under the name Ichnanthus panicoides. RNAcentral describes it as "partial 18S ribosomal RNA". It matches the Rfam family "Eukaryotic small subunit ribosomal RNA", at positions 1725 to 1831 of the family's 1831-position model. Lineage: Eukaryota; Viridiplantae; Streptophyta; Magnoliopsida; Poales; Poaceae. The record is from RNAcentral.
GGGGGCGGUUCGCCGCCCCCGACGUUGCGAGAAGUCCAUUGAACCUUAUCAUUUAGAGGAAGGAGAAGUCGUAACAAGGUUUCCGUAGGUGAACCUGCGGAAGGAUCAUUG